UACGUAGGGAGCGAGCGUUAUCCGGAUUUAUUGGGUGUAAAGGGUGCGUAGACGGGAAAACAAGUUAGUUGUGAAAUCCCUUGGCUUAACCAAGGAACUGCAACUAAAACUGUUUUUCUUGAGUACUGGAGAGGAAAGUGGAAUUCCUAGUGUAGCGGUGAAAUGCGUAGAUAUUAGGAGGAACACCAGUGGCGAAGGCGACUUUCUGGACAGUAACUGACGUUGAGGCACGAAAGUGUGGGGAGCAAAC
RNAcentral lists this ribosomal RNA (250 nucleotides) under uncultured bacterium. RNAcentral describes it as "partial 16S ribosomal RNA". It matches the Rfam family "Bacterial small subunit ribosomal RNA", at positions 524 to 773 of the family's 1533-position model. The record is from RNAcentral.